UGGGGAAUUUUGCACAAUGGGGGAAACCCUGAUGCAGCGACGCCGCGUGAUUUAGAAGGCCUUCGGGUUGUAAAAAUCUUUUCUAUGGGAAGAAAAUGACAGUACUAUACGAAUAAGGACCGGCUAAUUACGUGCCAGCAGCCGCGGUAAUACGUAAGGUCCGAGCGUUGUCCGGAAUCAUUGGGCGUAAAGGGUACGUAGGCGGGUAAGCAAGUUAGAAGUGAAAUCCUAUAGCUCAACUAUAGUAAGCUUUUAAAACUGCUCAUCUUGAGGUAUGGAAGGGAAAGUGGAAUUCCUAGUGUAGCGGUGAAAUGCGCAGAUAUUAGGAGGAAUACCGGUGGCGAAGGCGACUUUCUGGCCAUAACCUGACGCUGAGGUACGAAAGCGUGGGUAGCAAACAGG
This 402-nucleotide ribosomal RNA is filed under the name Bacteroidota bacterium. RNAcentral's name for it is "Bacteroidetes bacterium partial 16S ribosomal RNA". It matches the Rfam family "Bacterial small subunit ribosomal RNA", at positions 355 to 776 of the family's 1533-position model. The record is from RNAcentral. Lineage: Bacteria; Pseudomonadati; Bacteroidota.